RNAcentral lists this small nucleolar RNA (63 nucleotides) under Brassica oleracea var. oleracea. RNAcentral describes it as "Plant small nucleolar RNA R71". It matches the Rfam family "Plant small nucleolar RNA R71". Rfam says of the family: R71 is a member of the C/D box family of snoRNAs containing the C (UGAUGA) and D (CUGA) box motifs. Multiple nearly identical copies of this snoRNA have been identified in Arabidopsis, and it is thought to function as a 2'-O-ribose methylation guide for 18S ribosomal RNA. Lineage: Eukaryota; Viridiplantae; Streptophyta; Magnoliopsida; Brassicales; Brassicaceae. The record is from Rfam by way of RNAcentral.
AAGCCUUGAUGAGGACAUUGAGAGAUGUAGCUGUUGAACCUUUCCCAUGCUUCUCCAAAGCCU